This 403-nucleotide ribosomal RNA is filed under the name uncultured bacterium. Its description in RNAcentral is "bacterial SSU rRNA". It matches the Rfam family "Bacterial small subunit ribosomal RNA", at positions 355 to 774 of the family's 1533-position model. The record is from RNAcentral.
UGGGGGAUAUUGCACAAUGGGGGAAACCCUGAUGCAGCGACGCCGCGUGUAGGAAGACGGUCCUCUGGAUUGUAAACUACUGUCUUCGGGGACGAUAAUGACGGUACCCGAGGAGGAAGCUCCGGCUAACUACGUGCCAGCAGCCGCGGUAAUACGAAGGGGGCGAGCGUUGUUCGGAAUUACUGGGCGUAAAGGGUGUGUAGGCGGUUUUGUAAGAUAGCGGUGAAAUGCCUAAGCUCAACUUAGGGGCUGCCGUUGAUACUGCAUAGCUGGAAUAUGGUUGCUGUUGGCGGAAUGUGUAGUGUAGCGGUGAAAUGCAUAGAUAUUACACAGAACACCUAUUGCGAAGGCAGCUGACAAAACCAUUAUUGACGCUGAGGCACGAAAGUGUGGGGAUCAAACA